This 1421-nucleotide unclassified non-coding RNA is filed under the name uncultured Neocallimastigales. Its description in RNAcentral is "partial contains small subunit ribosomal RNA, internal transcribed spacer 1, 5.8S ribosomal RNA, internal transcribed spacer 2, and large subunit ribosomal RNA". The stretch from base 665 to 1421 matches the Rfam family "Eukaryotic large subunit ribosomal RNA", at positions 1 to 634 of the family's 3401-position model. The record is from RNAcentral. Lineage: Eukaryota; Fungi; Neocallimastigomycota; Neocallimastigomycetes; Neocallimastigales.
UUUCCGUAGGUGAACCUGCGGAAGGAUCAUUAAAAAAUAGAACUUCCAAUGGGAGUUCAUUAAUAAUCCUACCCUUUGUGAAUUUGUUUGUUUGAAAUAAUUUUUUUUCCAAAAAAAUUAUUGAAUGUCUUUCCCUGUUUUUGGUUGAAGCGUAAAAGUGGAGACCAAGCAGGGGAAUGGCAAACAUUAAUUUUUUUGAAGAAAGACCUUUUUUAAAAUUAAACUUUUUGUAUUCAUUUGUCUAAAAUUAUUUUUAUAAUAUAAAAACAACUUUUGACAAUGGAUCUCUUGGUUCUCGCAACGAUGAAGAACGCAGCAAAAUGCGAUAAGUAAUGUGAAUUGCAGAAUACGUGAAUCAUCGAAUCUUCGAACGCAUAUUGCACUUUUUUAGUUUACUAAAAAAGUAUGUCUGUUUGAGUAUCAGUAAAAUAUUCUCAUAAAAAACUUUUUUUGUUUUUUAUGGUUAUGAGUGUUUUACAACGAUAAACAAGUUGUUUCACUUUAAAUUCUUUGAAAUUUAAAAAAUCGUUAAAACUAAUUUUAAAAUGAUUUUUUAAAAUUGGAUAAAAUUUUCCCGUAAAAAAGGAAUAACCUAAACAAUUUUAAAAAAUUUAAAAUUGGUUGAUUUUUUUAAAUCCCAAAAGGAAAAAAGUAAAAAUUAACUUGAUCUCAAAUCAGAUAAGAGUACCCGCUGAACUUAAGCAUAUCAAUAAGCGGAGGAAAAGAAACUAACUAGGAUUCCCUCAGUAACGGCGAGUGAAGCGGGAAGAGCUCAAAUUUGAGAUCUUCAAGGUUCUACCUUGACGAAUUGUAGUUUAAAGAAGUGUUUUCUGUUGGAAUAGUUUGGUAUAAGUUCUUUGGAAUAGGACAUCAUGGAGGGUGAGAAUCCCGUAACGACCAUUUAUUCCAGCUCUGUGAUACACUUUCAAAGAGUCGGAUUGUUUGGGAAUGCAGUCCAAAAUGGGUGGUAAAUUUCAUCUAAAGCUAAAUAUUGGCGAGAGACCGAUAGCGAACAAGUACCGUGAGGGAAAGAUGAAAAGAACUUUGAAAAGAGAGUUAAACAGUACGUGAAAUUGUCAAAAGGGAAGCGUUUGACACCAGUGUUGUUUUCUCGAAAAUCAAUUAAAAAUGACUUGAUUUUGUGUAAGGCGACCUCAUCAGCGUUUUGCACUCUUUUCUUGUCCUUUUUAAUGCACUUUUCGUUUAACAAGUCAACAUCAAUUUCUUUUGUUGUAAAAGAGUCAUUGGAAGGUGGCUUUCUUUUCGGAGAAAGUGUUUAUAGCCUUUGGCUUCUGCAAUCGGAGAGAUUGAGGUCUGCAGCGUAGAUCCUUCGGGUUGGAUGCAUUAGUGCUAAGUUAUAGCCUUUCAUAGACAACUUGUUGACUAUGAUCAGUCAUGUAGCUUACUCGCUGAUGUUAUUU